UUUCUGGCAAUGCAGUUUGCUAGAUUUCAUAGAUUUACUGUGUCUGCUUUUUUAUGACUGACAUAGCAAUAACCAGAUUGCAAAGAUAUUUAUGUUGUUUGUGGCUUAGCAAGAUAAUUAAAGGAUAUAAAUUAAUCAAGUGCAAUUAAUUAGAAACUUUAUGUUCGCAGCAGUCCUUCUUUGCAUGUAUAAUUUAUAUUUAUUGAUUUCCUGGCUUUCAUUAGCCUAUGAGAUAACAGCAAAAAAUGCAUUAGAGAAGAAAAUGUACAAUUAGCGUGAGAGUGAACCUUGGCAUAAUGGAUAGAUCAGCACAUGUUUGGGGCAAAUAUAAAGCUUUGUUAACUGUCAUAAGCAGUUACAAUUGAUGAGUGGUAUUUCACUACAUAUCUUUCAGCUGAUUAACGGCAUUUUUAAAGAGUCCCCUUAAUGGGAAGCUGAUAGGUUGGCUAAAUUUACAUUUUAAUCAGAGUAUUUGUGAUGGAGGCAGCCCUAGAAAUUCAUUGGCAGAGGGCAGGAGAUGUUCCCUGAGGGACUAAGGUAGGGAGGAGGCUGUGGAGGGUGUCAGCUCACCUAUUCCUUCUCUCGUUAUUUGUCCAAAAGUGUCAGGGUGGGGAGGGGCAAGAACCCUAAUGGCCUCCUCAUAACUGGCCCCAUUCUGAUUAAUCUUCAGGAGAAAGGGCCAGAUGUGUGAGAUGCCAGAAGAAGGGAGCCCUGAUCACACUCUGUGUACAGCGGAUCUCAAGCAUUUCCACCAAGGACUCCGCCUAGGAGGGAGAGAUAGCUUGUCUUGAGGAAGGACAAUGCCCUAUGUGAAUCUACUUCUAUUUCCUAACUGGAUUGGGAGCCAAACCAACAAGCUCCAAAAAGAUCACACAAGAGGCCCCAGUGCCGGGGCCAGAGGGCCACCUAUUCAUGCCUAUGGAUCCAGAGCUACCAUUUUAAACCUAGAGGCAGGGCCCCCUCCUGAACUGUAAGCCAUUAAAAAAGUCAGAUUCAUUCAAGCAAGAACAGAAGUUAGGUUGUGGAACAGAGAAAACUUUUCAAAAGAAGUGAAAAGUAGAUCCUCAUGUAAUCAUCCCUUCUUUCUUCAAAAUAGGCUGAGGCAGUUCUCUGGAAUUCCCAGAGAAGACUGAAAUGGAAUCUUCUAUUACCCUUCUGAGCAAUUACAUGUCCAGGAGUCUUUGAGAAGGAACACAAGCUAUUUCCUAAAUAUAUAUCUAUUUCUAUAUCAUGAGGCCUGCUGGGGCAGAUUGGGUGUCUUUGUUGGUUAAAAGAGACUACCUAAGAUGUUAUCAUGGCAGCACAUAACAAAAACACAUCAAGUUUGGACAAUUAGUGAGGCUGUAGAGUGGGAUUCAUGUCUGGCUGGUGAAGUGGCCCUUACUGGGCCUCUCUGUAGGAGAGGACCUAUUUCUUCUUGUCCUCACAUGGAGAUGAGACAAUAGGGCUAGGCAGCCAUGUUCUAUGCUUAGUGGCAAUUCUCAACAUGGUCCUUAUACUAAAGAAUGCCAGGAGGCCCUCUUUCUGGAAAGAAAAACAAAAGAAGGUGCUCAUUCCUGAUUCAGAGACAAACCAGGGAGAACUUCAGUUAGUUCAGAAAAUGCCUGGAACAGAGUGAGACUGGGGGCUUGGCCUUUUCUCCAGCAAGGACAAAAACCAUUGUCUUCAGUCUCACCAAACACCCUUCCCUCUCCCUUUCAUUUUGGUUCCCGUGUAGUCUGAGCAUUCAAAACCCCCUCUCCUAUUUCCUGGUAGAAUCCCAUAAGUGUGGAUUGAAUAUUGACAGAAUCUUCCAUGUUUCUUCCUGCCCUAGGGCAAUUAGAGUUGAAUUAUGUACACCAAAGUCAGGCUAUAAAUAAGAAACUAUUUUUCAUUUAUCUCAAUGAGAAGAAAUCCUUAUUAGACCCUAAACAGAAGAAAUGAGCGAAUAUGAGAUUAAUAUAAGUGAAGGAGGCUAUAGUUUCUGCUUUGUGUGGUGAUAAACCCUUUUUUUCCUUUUCAUACUAAUUAUUGUUAUCAUUAUUAGUAUUAUUUUACCCCUCAAUUGCCUUCGGAUGUUAUCCAAGAGGAAGAGCUUUAUCGGUUGGUGAAAGCUCCACAGUAUUAUUUAUUUCAUGUAAUAAAAUGUAUGUAAUGAUCAUGA
This 2143-nucleotide long non-coding RNA is filed under the name Homo sapiens (human). RNAcentral's name for it is "HSALNT0385979". The record is from RNAcentral. Lineage: Eukaryota; Metazoa; Chordata; Mammalia; Primates; Hominidae.